Molecule: ribosomal RNA, 253 nt
Filed under: uncultured bacterium
Lineage: Bacteria
Description: partial 16S ribosomal RNA
Rfam family: Bacterial small subunit ribosomal RNA
Source: RNAcentral
UACAUAGGGUGCGAGCGUUAACCGGAAUUACUGGGCGUAAAGCGUGCGUAGACGGUUAUUUAAGUCGGGUGUGAAAGCCCCGGGCUCAACCUGGGAAUUGCAUUCGAGACUGAAUAGCUAGGGUACGGUAGAGGGAAGCGGAAUUUCCGGUGUAGCGGUGAAAUGCGUAGAUAUCGGAAGGAACAUCAGUGGCGAAAGCGGCUUCCUGGACCAGUACCGACGUUCAGGCACGAAAGCGUGGGGAGCAAACAGG